RNAcentral lists this long non-coding RNA (309 nucleotides) under Solanum tuberosum (potato). Its description in RNAcentral is "long non-coding RNA (STUB_LNC007014)". Lineage: Eukaryota; Viridiplantae; Streptophyta; Magnoliopsida; Solanales; Solanaceae. The record is from RNAcentral.
UCUUUUCUUUUCAAAACCCACCAAGGGUUUCUCCAGCCUCCUGCUGCUCAGCUGCAGAUAACAUCCCCCACUCACAUCACCGCCGCCUGAGCUCGAUUUCUGCAAAUUAGAAAGCGUCCCAAUUCAUUUUGAAGAUGCGGGCACUACGAAAAUAAAACAAUCAUAAAAAAGUUAGAUCCAAACCUAAAACUAAGUAAUUAGCUUGUAUUUUCCGUCAAAAUCGUGAAACUUCUAGUUCAAACACAUGCAAAACUAAAAUAGAAAAUAUAUCCAGAGGAACUCAAUGAAGGAGCAUGAAUGAGGCAAUUC